This is an RNA transcript of Rosa chinensis, 2149 nucleotides long. It is a transcript of the gene named polypyrimidine tract-binding protein homolog 3, with no coding region annotated. The transcript is spliced from 16 exons. The record is from RefSeq and is a predicted model, not a curated record. NCBI's taxonomy places the organism in Eukaryota, Viridiplantae, Streptophyta, Magnoliopsida, Rosales, Rosaceae.
UUUUUUUUUUUGUUUGUGUGAAUUGGAAUCUCAAACAAUCAAUCUCUCAACCCACCUACACCCCUGUGUGUCUCUGAAGCACUUCUCCUCCUCACUUGAGUUCCCUUCCCUCUCAUUCAUUCGAUCCCCUUCUCUCUUCUCUCUCUCUCUCAGGGCUUCUGCAAUGACAGAACCUUCCAAAGUCAUUCACGUUCGGAAUGUGGGGCAUGAAAUUUCUGAAAAUGAUUUGCUUCAGCUAUUUCAGCCCUUUGGAGUCAUAACUAAGCUUGUGAUGCUUCGUGCAAAAAACCAGGCUCUUAUUCAAAUGCAGGAUACUGCUGCUGCAGUAAGUGCAUUGCAAUUCUAUGCAAAUGUUCAACCUGCUGUGAGGGGAAGGAAUGUUUAUGUCCAGUUCUCAUCACAUCAAGAACUAACAACAAUGUAUCAAAAUGCUCAAGGACGAGGAGAUGAGCCAAACCGAAUUCUCUUAGUUACAGUCCACCACAUGCUAUAUCCUAUAACAGUGGAAGUGCUGCAUCAAGUAUUUUUUCCUCAUGGAUUUGUAGAGAAGAUUGUCACGUUCCAGAAGUCAGCUGGUUUUCAGGCCCUCAUUCAGUAUCAGUCUCGCCAAAGUGCCGUUGCAGCUAGAACUGCACUGCAGGGACGCAAUAUUUACGAUGGUUGUUGUCAGCUGGACAUUCAGUUCUCAAACCUUGAUGAGUUGCAAGUGAACUACAAUAAUGAGCGUUCAAGGGAUUUCACAAAUCCAAAUUUGCCUUCGGAACAGAAAGGAAAAUCCCCACAACCUGGAUAUGGUGAUUCAGGAGGCAUGUAUGGCCUUCAAGCUACUGGAGCCAGGGCAGUUGGAUUCCCACAGAUGGCUAACGCGGCUGCGAUUGCUGCUGCCUUUGGUGGAGGUUUGCCUCCUGGUAUAAGUGGGACAAAUGACAGGUGUACGGUCCUUGUGUCAAACUUGAAUCCCGAUAGAAUAGAUGAAGAUAAGCUUUUUAACCUGUUCUCCAUUUAUGGAAACAUUGUGAGAAUUAAGCUUCUUCGGAACAAACCAGAUCAUGCACUAGUCCAGAUGGGUGAUGGCUUCCAGGCUGAACUGGCAGUACACUUUUUAAAGGGUGCAAUCCUGUUUGGGAAGCGAUUGGAGGUUAACUUCUCAAAGCAUCCAAAUAUAACUCAGGGUGCCGACACUCAUGAAUACAUGAAUUCAAAUCUCAACCGCUUCAACCGUAAUGCUGCAAAGAACUACCGCUAUUGCUGCUCACCUACAAAGAUGAUCCACUUGUCCUCUCUUCCACAAGAAGUCGCUGAAGAUGAGAUUGUGGCCCACCUAGAGGAUAUUGGUACCAUUGUCAACACAAAGCUUUUUGAGAUGAACGGGAAGAAGCAGGCCUUAGUUCUGUUUGAAACUGAGGAGCAGGCCACUGAAGCCCUUGUGUGCAAGCAUGCUACCUCGCUUGGUGGGUCAAUUAUCCGGAUCUCCUUUUCACAGUUACAGGCAAUAUGAUAAUGUUAUAGUUGCGGAAAUAACAGGGAGGAGGUUUCUGCAUAAUGGGGUGUUAAGUGGUACUAGCUGAGUUAUUCUUACUCAAGUGGUUGAGUCACGUUUGGUGUGAUGCGGUGCAAAGAUAAAUGGUACUAUCUUGUACCCUUUUUUCCAAAAUCACCUCGCUAAGUAGCCCAUGCUAAGGGUACCAAAAAGUUGAACCUCAACUGACACCGUUUUCUCUCCAUCGCUAAGUGCGCUCAUCUCUCACCUAUGUUGACAGUGCUCUUCUUCUUCCUCUCAUCACUCUUAUUCCUCCCUCGUGCCGCUCUUCUUCAUCUUGCCCUCGAAUGUCUCUUGGCUACAUAGUAUGAAAGAGUCCACCUUCUUCUGUGUCUCAAAUUGACAGAUCGUGAUUCUUCCUACUUAUAAGUUUCAGUGAAAGACAACUGAGGACGUAAUACUGCAGAAUUUGAAUAUAAUUCAUGGCAUUUUGCAAAAUUUGGGUAGUUGAUGAACUUCUUUGCCCAAAGUUUGACAGAAAUCUCCUCUGCCAAAGUUCUUUGUUAAGGAUGUACAAAGAACCAUCUACUGUGAUUUGAAUUGAUUUGUUUGGAUUUCAACUAUUUUCUGGGUUAUGGUUUUGUGGUGUUUACUGGAAGUUGUUCUUGU